Ruditapes philippinarum (Manila clam) is the source of this 469-nucleotide long non-coding RNA. RefSeq lists it as uncharacterized. The transcript has 4 exons. Lineage: Eukaryota; Metazoa; Mollusca; Bivalvia; Venerida; Veneridae. The record is from RefSeq and is a predicted model, not a curated record.
UGCAGUUUUGUGCCACAUGUUGUUUAAUGUAUUAUAUAGGUGAUGGAUACAGCUGUUGCUGCUAAGCCACAUAUGGGCGGGAGCAUAAUGGUGAAACAGGUUUUGGAAGUCCAACAAGUAUCUACUAUAUAAGUAAAUGGUUUCUAUUCGAUCUACACAUUUGAAUAUAAGCAAUAUUCAGUUGACGAUCGUUCAGAUUACAUUAAUACCUUUGAGAUAAAGAUGGUACGUUUAACACUCGUAUUGUUGUUUGUUGUUGCUGUUGCUUUUGUUGUUGCUGAUGAGGAUGAAGACAAUUCCUGCACCGAACUUAAAGAUUGCCCUUGUGGAAGUAUUUGCAUUGAUGGUGCAUGCACAGAGGGUUGCAUGUUGUACGACAAAUUUAUGCCGGCGGGUUCCGAGUCAGAGGUGUACGGCAGAAAAAUGUCAUUGUGGUGAUACUCCCGACGAGAAAGGAAUGUUGCUAGAG